UUUCGUGUCAUAUUCUUGUUUUUAAUCACAGUUUGUGACUAAAUUUGUCACUUCUAAUGUGCACAAAAUUGUUAAUUGAAAUAAUAAAAUUCACUUACUAAAUAAAUAAUUAUUAAGUCAAUUGACAUUUGCUCAAGAAAUAUUUCAUAUUUGGUAUACCUCCUAUUGUUUAAAUUAAUUUUCAAACUAAUUGAUUUUUUUGGCAUAACAUCAAAAUAAUCCACAAAAGAAAAUUCAAGAAUUAUUUGGUGGGGCUUCCGUUGUUUAUUGCCAGUGGGGUACUGUUUUCAUAGGGAAAGCUUCG
Molecule: unclassified non-coding RNA, 304 nt
Filed under: Hevea brasiliensis (rubber tree)
Lineage: Eukaryota; Viridiplantae; Streptophyta; Magnoliopsida; Malpighiales; Euphorbiaceae
Source: RNAcentral